AAAGUUGUUUCUGUCAAGUCGCCCCCUCAUCCUCUUUCACGGCUCCCGUCAAGUGCAGCCUCCACGUCUCCAACUGGCACGCACAACUUGCAAGUCGACGAGAUGACGAAGUUCCUGAAGCCCGGUAAGGUGGUCAUCGUGACGGCUGGCCGCUACGCCGGCCACAAGGCGGUGAUCGUGCAGAACUCUGACAUCGCGACGAAGGAGCGCCCGUACGGCCGCGCGCUGCUUGCGGGCAUCAAGAAGUACCCGAAGAAGGUCGUGCGCGGGAUGAGCAAGCAGACGAUCGCGCGCCGCUCGCAGGUGGGCGUGUUCCUGCGCGUUGUGAACCACAAGCACUUCCUGCCCACCCGCUACAACGUGGACAUGUCGAAGGAGCUGCGCGGCAAGAUCAACGUGUCUGACGCGUCGAAGCGCUCGCGCUCGAAGAGGCUGGUGAGGCACGUGUUCCAGGCGCGCUACAACGCCGGCAGCAGCAUGUGGUUCUUCCAGCGCCUGCGCUUCUAAGCAGCAAGCGCUGCGUUCACCCACUGGAGGCCGCCGCCGCAGCAGAAGUGGGUACGUAGCUGCACAGGGAUGGGUCAGGGAGGGGGUCUGACGUCGGUUUCUCUUACUGUCCCCACCUCAUCCUCUCCUGAGUCCCCCGCUUCCUUCGCAGCCGUCGCUCUGCACCCCAUCUGCGCGCGUGAGCGUGGCUGCAGCGGCAUGCGCGGCGAGACAGGCGUUGCAACUUUAGCCUUUUUUCCUCUUCUUUUGCUGAUUGCCUCCGUCUUUCACUCACCCUCGCAGGGAGGACACGUGGCGGUCGAUCUUUUCUGUGUUGCGUGGGGUCAUUUUCUUUAGCCUUCCAAACGACUUGCCUACUCGGCAGACGAGCAUGCGACGCAGGCGUCGCAACCAAACGCAGAGGAGGCGAUGAUAAAGGCCGAGUGGACGGCAAGGCGGAGCAGGACGCGCCUAUCAGCGAGCGGCACGGAUGCGUAUAAUGCUUGCUUGCUUUGCCCCCUCCCCUUCCCUCUUCCCUAUGUGACACUCGGAGGUGGCUGUCGCCACAGCCCCCUCCCCCUCCUUUACUUCUCGCUCACUCCUCUCGCUACACUGCGAGCUUUCUGGCCGGCCGGAGUCCUCGAUGCCCGUGCACGUUUAUGUUUUCCGUAUCGUUCCACCUCCUCCGUUGUACUCUUCGCUCUCGAAUGACUGCAUACGCGCACCUACUCCUUCUUUGGUCGUUGUUCAUCUCUUCGACAUCGUGACGAGUGCCGUCCUCCACACUACGCUAUCCGUGCGCUCCAG
Molecule: unclassified non-coding RNA, 1293 nt
Filed under: Leishmania donovani
Lineage: Eukaryota; Euglenozoa; Kinetoplastea; Trypanosomatida; Trypanosomatidae
Description: gene:LdHU3.32.3590(CDS-product:ribosomal_protein_ L27_putative)
Source: RNAcentral